UAUGGAAGUAUCAUUUAUAAAUGCCUUUUUGAUGAAUAUUUACAGUAUAUAUGCUUUAGUACAGUGGGAGAAAGUCAGAAAGUCUGCCUUUCUCACAAAAGAACAAGGCCUAAUUCCUCAAUAGGGAACAAUAAUAAUGUCCACAAAAGUGCACUAUCCAGUGAGCUCUUAGUGCUGGCUCCAAAUAUCUUGGUGAUCUACUGAACCGACAAACAAAAUGAUUCGAGGAAAUCGAAACAACAUUAAAACACAGAUAUUUGAGUUUAUCUGCCAUGAAGUAAGGUAUAUUAUCAUCAAGAGCAGAAAUGAAAUGAAAAUCAUCAAAAGAAACAAAUUUUAACAAGAAAUGCACAAACCCGGUGACUAUGUCUGGAAAACACUUAAAUGACUGCAGCGACUUUGGCAAAUCACAAUUGUGUCCAUCGCAAGCUAAAAGUUAUCGUGGGCAGUGGAAGGGUAAGUGCUACAUGCACAAUAUACUUAAUAUUAUGUUUAAUAAGUGCUUUAACACUUAGGAGACUGCAGAUGUUUUGACACUAAAGAAGUUCUGACAUUUGUGUAUUCUUCAGUUACUUAUAAACAUAUAAAUGGCUAAAGUCUGAUCACACUCUAUUCAGCACAAACUAGACUACAGUAAUAUGUGAGCAGCAUGUAUGUGCAAGUUUGUAUUUUGGAGAAAAUAACAGUUAUGCGCUGUUAUUGAAAACAACAACAACAACAACAAAAAAUAAGGCCACAAACUCUUGCAGUCUAGAGUUGUUGCUUCAAAUUGAUGUGACAU
Long non-coding RNA from Clarias gariepinus (North African catfish), 781 nucleotides. RefSeq lists it as uncharacterized. The record is from RefSeq and is a predicted model, not a curated record. NCBI's taxonomy places the organism in Eukaryota, Metazoa, Chordata, Actinopteri, Siluriformes, Clariidae. The transcript has 3 exons.